This 315-nucleotide ribosomal RNA is filed under the name uncultured Pseudomonadota bacterium. RNAcentral describes it as "bacterial SSU rRNA". It matches the Rfam family "Bacterial small subunit ribosomal RNA", at positions 29 to 351 of the family's 1533-position model. Lineage: Bacteria; Pseudomonadati; Pseudomonadota. The record is from RNAcentral.
AACGAACGUUAGCGGCGCGCUUAACACAUGCAAGUCGAACGAGAAAGUCCUUCGGAUGAGUACAGUGGCGCACGGGUGAGUAUCACGUGGGUAAUCUGCCCUUUGGUGGGGAAUAACACUCCGAAAGGAAUGCUAAUACCGCAUAAGUCCACUUCGGUGGGAAAGGCGGCGUAAGCUGUCGCCAGAGGAUGAGCCCGCGGCCCAUCAGCUUGUUGGUAGGGUAAUGGCCUACCAAGGCUACGACGGGUAACUGGUCUGAGAGGAUGAUCAGCCACACUGGAACUGAAACACGGUCCAGACUCCUACGGGUGGCAG